AUCCAAGAAUUUUUCAGCAUCUUUUGCUCGUAAGCAAUCGAAAACAUCUUUUAGUGUUCCUAGUCCGAGGAUGAUGAGCCGAUCAGAAGCUUGGACUCCUUCACAAACAGGGGUGACACCUGAUCUUCAAGGACUAGAUGAUUUGAACCUCGAUGAACCGGCGACGGUUCCUUCAUCCUCUGUCUCCGUUCAGAAAUCAGAAGAACCGGAAAAGAUGGAAGAGAUUGACCUCCCAGAGUUUGAUGUUGAAGACAAGGGGGUCGAAAUUCAAGAGAAAGAACUCAAAGAAGCCGAGGAAGAAGAACCCGAAGACAAUAAAUCAGUUUCAAGUGAGGUUGUCAAGGAGAUGGUGAAUGAUCAGUUACAUAAGACAAGGUUAACUGAGCUUGAUUCGAUUGCCCGGCAGAUUAAAGCUCUUGAAUCUAUGAUGGGGGAUGAAAAGAUUGUCAAGGCUGAUGAAGAAACAGAAUCACAAAGGCUGGAUGCUGAUGAAGAAACUGUAACAAGGGAAUUUCUCCAGAUGUUAGAGGAUGAAGGAAGCAAUGAAUUUAAAGAUAUUCCACAUUUUCAACUCGACAAAGCUGAGGAUGAUACCGCUGGUGAUUCUGAUUCUAAAGUUUAUCUCCCUGAUCUAGGAAAGGGGCUAGGCUGUGUGGUUCAAACAAGAGAUGGAGGCUACUUAGCUGCUGUGAAUCCAUUGGAUUCCUUGGUUGCUAGAAAAGACAUGCC
Molecule: long non-coding RNA, 729 nt
Filed under: Gossypium barbadense (sea-island cotton)
Lineage: Eukaryota; Viridiplantae; Streptophyta; Magnoliopsida; Malvales; Malvaceae
Description: long non-coding RNA (GBAR_LNC003352)
Source: RNAcentral